This 468-nucleotide ribosomal RNA is filed under the name uncultured bacterium. Its description in RNAcentral is "partial 16S ribosomal RNA". It matches the Rfam family "Bacterial small subunit ribosomal RNA", at positions 28 to 507 of the family's 1533-position model. The record is from RNAcentral.
GACGAACGCUGGCGGCGUGCUUAACACAUGCAAGUCGAACGGAAAGGCCCUGCGUUUGUGGGGUGCUCGAGUGGCGAACGGGUGAGUAACACGUGAGUAACCUGCCCUUGACUUUGGGGUAACUUCAGGAAACUGGGGCUACUAUCGGAUAGGAGCUCCUGCUGCAUGGUGGGGGUUGGAACGUUUCGGCGGUUGGGGAUGGACUCGCGGCUUAUCAGCUAGUUGGUGGGGUAGUGGCUUACCAAGGGUUUGACGGGUAGCCGGCAUGGGAGGGUGACCGGCGACAUUGGGACUAAGGUACGGCCCAGACUCCUACGGGAGGCAGCAGUGGGGAAUCUUGCACAAUGGGCGGAAGCGUGAUGCAGCAACGCCGCGUGCGGGAUGACGGCCUUCGGGGUGUGAACAGCUUUCGCCUGUGACGAAGCUGGAGUGACGGUAAUGGGUAAAGAAGCACCGGCUAACUACGUG